Long non-coding RNA from Anopheles funestus (African malaria mosquito), 4537 nucleotides. RefSeq lists it as uncharacterized. The record is from RefSeq and is a predicted model, not a curated record. Lineage: Eukaryota; Metazoa; Arthropoda; Insecta; Diptera; Culicidae. The transcript has 3 exons.
AAUGUGUUUCUUUUCACUCAAGUAAUGCUUUAAAUAAGAAAAAGAGUGAAAAAUAAUAAAAAAAUCAAAAAAUUCAAAAAAAUGAAAAUUUACUAAGGCUCAUUUUUGCACCAAGUUUUGCAUAUAACUCGGUCGGUAUCCAACGGAUCGCCAAUCUUUAACCUGUGGUCGAUAGAUGGCAAAAAUGGCUACAUUUUCUUCUUAGACGGCCAUGCUCUCAGAUGUCCGUGCCGGAAGUUAUUCGAGGAACCAAGUUCCUUACCCUGUUUGAGAAAAUGUAAAAUUUUUCUCAUUUUUGCACCAAGUUUUGCCUAUAACUCGGUCGGUAUCCAACGGAUCGCCAAUCUUUAACCUUUGGUCGAUAGAUGGCACCAAUGGCUAUAUUUUCUUCUUAGACGGCCAUGCUCUCAGAUGUCCGUGCCGGAAGUUAUUCGAGGAACAAAGUUCCUUACCCUGUUUGAGAAAAUGUAAAAUUUUUCUCAUUUUUGAGCAAUUUAGCAAAAUUUUUAAAUGUGAUAUAUUUUCAUGCAAAUUUGUUGCAAUGUGUUUCUUUUCACUCAAAUAAUGCUUUAAAUUAAAAAAAUAAUAAAAAAUCAGAAAAAAAUUUCAAAAAAAUUUUUCACUCGAAAAUUUCAUAAGGCUUACCCCUUACGAUUUUUUUGGGAAAUUUUGCAAAAAAAAUGAAAUUGAUUUAUUUUAAUGCCAAUUGGUUGCAAUGUGUUUCUUUUCACUUAAGUAAUGCUUUAAAUAAGAAAAAGAGUGAAAAAUAAUAAAAAAAUCAAAAAAUUCAAAAAAAUGAAAAUUUACUAAGGCUCAUUUUUGCACCAAGUUUUGCAUAUAACUCGGUCGGUAUCCAACGGAUCGCCAAUCUUUAACCUGUGGUCGAUAGAUGGCAAAAAUGGCUACAUUUUCUUCUUAGACGGCCAUGCUCUCAGGUGUCCGUGCCGGAAGUUAUUCGAGGAACCAAGUUCCUUACCCUGUUUGAGAAAAUGUAAAAUUUUUCUCAUUUUUGCCCCAAGUUUUGCCUAUAACUCGGUCGGUAUUCAACGGAUCGCCAAUCUUUAACCUGUGGUCGAUAGAUGGCACCAAUGGCUACAUUUUCUUCUUAGACGGCCAUGCUCUCAGAUGUCCGUGCCGGAAGUUAUUCGAGGAACAAAGUUCCUUACCCUGUUUGAGAAAAUGUAAAAUUUUUUCAUUUUUGCACCAAGUUUUGCCUAUAACUCGGUCGGUAUUCAACGGAUCGCCAAUCUUUAACCUGUGGUCGAUAGAUGGCACCAAUGGCUACAUUUUCUUCUUAGACGGCCAUGCUCUCAGGUGUCCGUGCCGGAAGUUAUUCGAGGAACAAAGUUCCUUACCCUGUUUGAGAAAAUGUAAAAUUUUUCUCAUUUUUGCACCAAGUUUUGCCUAUAACUCGGUCGGUAUCCAACGGAUCGCCAAUCUUUAACCUGUGGUCGAUAGAUGGCACCAAUGGCUACAUUUUCUUCUUAGACGGCCAUGCUCUCAGAUGUCCGUGCCGGAAGUUAUUCGAGGAAGAAAGUUCCUUACCCUGUUUGAGAAAAUGUAAAAUUUUUCUCAUUUUUGAGCAAUUUAGCAAAAUUUUUAAAUGUGAUAUAUUUUCAUGCAAAUUUGUUGCAAUGUGUUUCUUUUCACUCAAAUAAUGCUUUAAAUUAAAAAAAUAAUAAAAAAUCAGAAAAAAAUUUUAAAAAAAUUUUCAACUCGAAAAUUUCAUAAGGCUUACCCCUUACGAUUUUUUUGGGAAAUUUUGCAAAAAAAAUGAAAUUGAUUUAUUUUAAUGCCAAUUGGUUGCAAUGUGUUUCUUUUCACUUAAGUAAUGCUUUAAAUAAGAAAAAGAGUGAAAAAUAAUAAAAAAAUCAAAAAAUUCAAAAAAAUGAAAAUUUACUAAGGCUCAUUUUUGCACCAAGUUUUGCAUAUAACUCGGUCGGUAUCCAACGGAUCGCCAAUCUUUAACCUGUGGUCGAUAGAUGGCAAAAAUGGCUACAUUUUCUUCUUAGACGGCCAUGCUCUCAGAUGUCCGUGCCGGAAGUUAUUCGAGGAACCAAGUUCCUUACCCUGUUUGAGAAAAUGUAAAAUUUUUCUCAUUUUUGCACCAAGUUUUGCCUAUAACUCGGUCGGUAUCCAACGGAUCGCCAAUCUUUAACCUGUGGUCGAUAGAUGGCACCAAUGGCUACAUUUUCUUCUUAGACGGCCAUGCUCUCAGAUGUCCGUGCCGGAAGUUAUUCGAGGAACAAAGUUCCUUACCCUGUUUGAGAAAAUGUAAAAUUUUUCUCAUUUUUGAGCAAUUUAGCAAAAUUUUUAAAUGUGAUAUAUUUUCAUGCAAAUUUGUUGCAAUGUGUUUCUUUUCACUCAAAUAAUGCUUUAAAUAAAAAAAAUAAUAAAAAAUCAGAAAAAAAAUUUUAAAAAAUUUUCAACUCGAAAAUUUCAUAAGGCUUACCCCUUACGAUUUUUUUGGGAAAUUUUGCAAAAAAAAUGAAAUUGAUUUAUUUUAAUGCCAAUUGGUUGCAAUGUGUUUCUUUUCACUUAAGUAAUGCUUUAAAUAAGAAAAAGAGUGAAAAAUAAUAAAAAAAUCAAAAAAUUCAAAAAAAUGAAAAUUUACUAAGGCUCAUUUUUGCACCAAGUUUUGCAUAUAACUCGGUCGGUAUCCAACGGAUCGCCAAUCUUUAACCUGUGGUCGAUAGAUGGCAAAAAUGGCUACAUUUUCUUCUUAGACGGCCAUGCUCUCAGGUGUCCGUGCCGGAAGUUAUUCGAGGAACCAAGUUCCUUACCCUGUUUGAGAAAAUGUAAAAUUUUUCUCAUUUUUGCACCAAGUUUUGCCUAUAACUCGGUCGGUAUUCAACGGAUCGCCAAUCUUUAACCUGUGGUCGAUAGAUGGCACCAAUGGCUACAUUUUCUUCUUAGACGGCCAUGCUCUCAGAUGUCCGUGCCGGAAGUUAUUCGAGGAACAAAGUUCCUUACCCUGUUUGAGAAAAUGUAAAAUUUUUUCAUUUUUGCACCAAGUUUUGCCUAUAACUCGGUCGGUAUUCAACGGAUCGCCAAUCUUUAACCUGUGGUCGAUAGAUGGCACCAAUGGCUACAUUUUCUUCUUAGACGGCCAUGCUCUCAGGUGUCCGUGCCGGAAGUUAUUCGAGGAACAAAGUUCCUUACCCUGUUUGAGAAAAUGUAAAAUUUUUCUCAUUUUUGCACCAAGUUUUGCCUAUAACUCGGUCGGUAUCCAACGGAUCGCCAAUCUUUAACCUGUGGUCGAUAGAUGGCACCAAUGGCUACAUUUUCUUCUUAGACGGCCAUGCUCUCAGAUGUCCGUGCCGGAAGUUAUUCGAGGAAGAAAGUUCCUUACCCUGUUUGAGAAAAUGUAAAAUUUUUCUCAUUUUUGAGCAAUAUAGCAAAAUUUUUAAAUGUGAUAUAUUUUCAUGCAAAUUUGUUGCAAUGUGUUUCUUUUCACUCAAAUAAUGCUUUAAAUUAAAAAAAUAAUAAAAAAUCAGAAAAAAAUUUUAAAAAAAUUUUCAACUCGAAAAUUUCAUAAGGCUUACCCCUUACGAUUUUUUUGGGAAAUUUUGCAAAAAAAAUGAAAUUGAUUUAUUUUAAUGCCAAUUGGUUGCAAUGUGUUUCUUUUCACUUAAGUAAUGCUUUAAAUAAGAAAAAGAGUGAAAAAUAAUAAAAAAAUCAAAAAAUUCAAAAAAAUGAAAAUUUACUAAGGCUCAUUUUUGCACCAAGUUUUGCAUAUAACUCGGUCGGUAUCCAACGGAUCGCCAAUCUUUAACCUGUGGUCGAUAGAUGGCAAAAAUGGCUACAUUUUCUUCUUAGACGGCCAUGCUCUCAGAUGUCCGUGCCGGAAGUUAUUCGAGGAACCAAGUUCCUUACCCUGUUUGAGAAAAUGUAAAAUUUUUCUCAUUUUUGCACCAAGUUUUGCCUAUAACUCGGUCGGUAUCCAACGGAUCGCCAAUCUUUAACCUGUGGUCGAUAGAUGGCACCAAUGGCUACAUUUUCUUCUUAGACGGCCAUGCUCUCAGAUGUCCGUGCCGGAAGUUAUUCGAGGAACAAAGUUCCUUACCCUGUUUGAGAAAAUGUAAAAUUUUUCUCAUUUUUGAGCAAUUUAGCAAAAUUUUUAAAUGUGAUAUAUUUUCAUGCAAAUUUGUUGCAAUGUGUUUCUUUUCACUCAAAUAAUGCUUUAAAUAAAAAAAAUAAUAAAAAAUCAGAAAAAAAUUUUUAAAAAAUUUUCAACUCGAAAAUUUCAUAAGGCUUACCCCUUACGAUUUUUUUGGGAAAUUUUGCAAAAAAAAUGAAAUUGAUUUAUUUUAAUGCCAAUUGGUUGCAAUGUGUUUCUUUUCACUUAAGUAAUGCUUUAAAUAAGAAAAAGAGUGAAAAAUAAUAAAAAAAUCAAAAAAUUCAAAAAAAUGAAAAUUUACUAAGGCUCAUUUUUGCACCAAGUUUUGCAUAUAACUCGGUCGGUAUCCAACGGAUCGCCAAUCUUUAACCUGUGGUCGAUAGAUGGCAAAAAUGGCUACAUUUUCUUCUUCGACAG